Molecule: long non-coding RNA, 309 nt
Filed under: Olea europaea (common olive)
Lineage: Eukaryota; Viridiplantae; Streptophyta; Magnoliopsida; Lamiales; Oleaceae
Description: long non-coding RNA (OEUR_LNC002455)
Source: RNAcentral
GAAAUAAUAUUUUACAAUCAACAACUAGAUCUUGCUUUUUGUAGGUCCAAAAUCGAGUUUCACCAAAAUACUCAACAAAUAAAAUCAAGAUUUUCUCAAACCAGAACAAAAAAUAAAGAAUGGGGGAGAUUUUUCGGCCAAAGGCCCCGGAGGUUUAACGACCAUUUCUAACGCUUAGUCCUCCAUUGAGCAUCCAUAAAAGGAUUAAGUUCGAAUCCACUAAAUCGGCUAAAAUAGGCAAAGUUCAAUUUACAGAACACCAAGUUUCCAGAAACCACAAGAACAACACAAUCUUCCCACAGUAGAAAC